Long non-coding RNA from Psammomys obesus (fat sand rat), 610 nucleotides. RefSeq lists it as uncharacterized. The record is from RefSeq and is a predicted model, not a curated record. The transcript is spliced from 3 exons. NCBI's taxonomy places the organism in Eukaryota, Metazoa, Chordata, Mammalia, Rodentia, Muridae.
CAGGGAACUGUUCGCACACACUGAGAACCGCGAGACAGAUGGACAUGAAGAGCAACACACAGAACCCCGAGAGAACCCCAAGGAGAACAUCGUGUAUGCCUCCAUCGCGCUCGCGAGACCAGCCUCCCCGGGAACUGCCCCCUGCCCGCCCGUCCACGCGCAGCCCCAGGAGGAGACUGUGUACUCCACCGUGAAGGCCAAAUGAGCCGGGUCACACACUCAGGGUCACCUUGGCCUUGCUGGGAAGACUCACGCUCCCCUGAUAGCCACGGCCGGGGACCGAAACUCACGGGCGCACACUCUGGCCUCAGAGAAACCGAGAAACUCCCAGUUCCCUUUUCCAGCUUCCUAGGCCUUUCUCACAGAAAUAAACAGACCCACAGAAUUGGCCUACAUGACUCUACCAGAGGACUGAUGUCACCUCAGCUUCCGGCCACUAACAAGCCCCCACUGUCACUCUUCCCUAUUGGCCCUCGGCAGGGGACUCCCCACAGGCUGGUGUCCAGUCCACACGCUGUGCUCCCACUGCUUCCCACGUCCACCGCACAGACACCAGCCGGACCCCAGACCGAAGACACGCAACUAACAGCAUGUGCUCAGUGUCCCCGCA